This is a long non-coding RNA of Oreochromis niloticus (Nile tilapia), 1939 nucleotides long. RefSeq lists it as uncharacterized. The transcript is spliced from 2 exons. NCBI's taxonomy places the organism in Eukaryota, Metazoa, Chordata, Actinopteri, Cichliformes, Cichlidae. The record is from RefSeq and is a predicted model, not a curated record.
GGUCUCAAUACCCUCUGGUCUUGGUAUUGUCUUGGUCUUGGUUUAGGCGGUCUUGAAUACAAGUCUACCUCUUUGCCCCAUCACCAGGUUGCUCACCUGGGCCUUUAGUCUCAGAUGUCCACUGGAAACUACCUAUUAACUAGAACUGUCCAUGUCAGUGUUUGGUAUGUAACCAGAACAAUGUUUGGUUUGGUUUUUUGCUUCUUUACAUUCUGGUUUUUGUGCCAAAUGAAGGCUAGCAGUGGAUUCAUAAGUCCUGUUGUACAAACAUUCAUAUUAAGUAAUUUCAACACCCAGUUUGAUGCACAUUCAGAACACUGCAGUGGCAGAAUUAACACAAUAAUCCUCCAAACUCUCCAAAUAAAGUAAUAACUCCAGGUCAUAGUGGUAGAAACACAGCGCCACUGGUCAUAUCAACUUUGACUGUAUGGUGCAAGUUACCAAAGAAAAAGUGAUAAAACCCAUAAAUCAUCACAUAAACAAAUAAACCUGGAGCCUCAGCGGGAAAGUAAAAUCAUAUAAAUGCUGAUCUGCAGUCAUAUGACUUCUUGUAACUGCUGGAGAGAAACUGAAAGUGAAAAAAACAGAAUAAAUAAAACAGUCUUGGGGACGUUCCCUGGUGUGUGCAGAGGUCAGUGUCUGUGUUUACUGCUCAAACCUGAGAACGAUAACAGCUGGGAUUUGUUUGACUUCUACAGUUGAGCAUGUUGUUGCUUGCAGGGCAACAUCUAAAUUCAUUUUUCCUCUUUUUUUGUGCAGGUAAUGAAGCUGAGUGGGAAGAAGCUGGGAUGAGAAUCAGCACCUCCAAGUCUGAGGCCAUGGUUCUCAGCUGGAAAUGGGUGGAAUCAGCACAUGUGGUCAGGGAUGAGCUGCUGCCCCGAGUGGAGGACUUCAAGUAUCUCGAGGACUUGUUCAUGAGUGAUGGGGGACCGGAGCGAGAGAUUGACAGGCAGUUUGGUGCUUUACUGGUUUGGUGUGGUGAAGAGAGCUGAGUAUAAAAGUGAAGCUGGUGAUUUACAGGUUUAUCUAUAUUCUUCCCCUCACCCACGGUCAUGAGCUGUGGGUAGUGACUGUGAGAGUUAGACUGUGGAUACAAGCCACAGAGUUUCGUCUGAAGGGUGAGGGCUCAGAGGUUGGAGGUUUUUAGAGUCCCAGGGGAAAUCCUGUGUUUAAAGUACUUUCACUAUCACUUUCUCUUCAGACAUUUAGAAUACAUCACAUGAGUUACUGUUAAAUAAUUUGUAAAAGCUGAGCAUUACAUGGUCAGUUUAUGUCAUUAUUCAGUUCGUGUAGCCAAUGUUGCACCUUUUAAUAUUUUACUGAAUAUGAAAGACUUGCGUGUAACUGUAAAACAUAUUAUUAUUAUUAUUGAUAUAAACCUGUGGAUUUUUCUUCCUUCCUGCCUCGUUAUUCAUCGUAUAAUGAUCAUGUAAAAUUUGAUUCUUUAUAAUACUUUAUAAUUCUUUAUAAUCCUAUUUCUUCAACAUUUACACCUGAGGCAUUUCACAUCUGAAAAAGAUUUCCUGUGUCGUUGUAGUGGAACAUAACAUGUCACAGAAAAUAAACAAUUAGAUUUAAAAAUAUAAUCCAAGAUUAUUUGUGAACCAAAAUGUUCCAGUUAAUCUGAAACACAGAAAUAACACUCAUCACGAUGCAUGGCAGAUCAGUUUAGAAAUAAUUUAUUAAACAUUAAUCAUUAUAUAUUCCGAGCUGAGAAGCGGCUAUUCAUUUAUGCGUGCGAGUGAGCGAACUCCAUGUAAAAGCCAUAAAAUGAAGAAAUGAUGAGAGAAGGAAAGUCGGAGAUGCCAGACUUAAAUCAAAAUGAUGCGUUUUCUCUUCUUCGCGUAUUUAUAAUUCAGUCCAUCCUGUUCAUUUGACGUGGUCACAUGAAUUAAUGAUGGAAUCCUUCACCCUCCGUGAACCUUCCUCACCACCUGCA